RNAcentral lists this ribosomal RNA (191 nucleotides) under uncultured Stackebrandtia sp. Its description in RNAcentral is "partial 16S ribosomal RNA". It matches the Rfam family "Bacterial small subunit ribosomal RNA", at positions 340 to 522 of the family's 1533-position model. The record is from RNAcentral. Lineage: Bacteria; Bacillati; Actinomycetota; Actinomycetes; Glycomycetales; Glycomycetaceae.
UACGGGAGGCAGCAGUGGGGAAUAUUGCGCAAUGGCCGCAAGGCUGACGCAGCGACGCCGCGUGUGGGAUGACGGCCUUCGGGUUGUAAACCACUGUCGGGAGGGACGAAUACAGGGCGUCGAAUAGGCGACCCUGGGUGACGGUACCUCCAAAGGAAGCACCGGCUAACUCCGUGCCAGCAGCCGCGGUA